UGAAUUGACGGGGGCCCGCACAAGCGGAGGAGCAUGUGGUUUAAUUCGAUGAUACGCGAGGAACCUUACCUGGGCUCGAACGUAAGAUGACUGUAGGUGAAAGCUUACAUCUCUUCGGAGCAUUUUACGAGGUGCUGCAUGGUUGUCGUCAGCUCGUACCGUGAGGUGUCGGGUUAAGUCCCAUAACGAGCGCAACCCCUACCUUUAGUUGCCAUCAGGUUAAGCUGGGGACUCUAAAGGAACUGCCUACGCAAGUAGUGAGGAAGGCGGGGAUGACGUCAAAUCAGCACGGCCCUUACGUCCAGGGCUACACACGUGCUACAAUGGCCGAUACAGAGGGCAGCUACCUGGUGACAGGAUGCAAAUCUCCAAAGUCGGUCUCAGUUCGGAUCGGAGUCUGCAACCCGACUCCGUGAAGUUGGAUUCGCUAGUAAUCGCGCAUCAGCCAUGGCGCGGUGAAUACGUUCCCGGGCCUU
This 476-nucleotide ribosomal RNA is filed under the name uncultured Sphingobacteriales bacterium. RNAcentral's name for it is "bacterial SSU rRNA". It matches the Rfam family "Bacterial small subunit ribosomal RNA", at positions 907 to 1382 of the family's 1533-position model. The record is from RNAcentral. Lineage: Bacteria; Pseudomonadati; Bacteroidota; Sphingobacteriia; Sphingobacteriales.